GAUAUUUUACACAUUAUACUCAGCUUCAUAUUUUAACUUUGCACUAUUUUAAGUUUUGGAUUCUCUUUUCUUUAAUGAUUUUCUUUUUAAACACAUUUAAUGAGCGUUGUUGGAGGGAUCUAAGAAUUUCAUUUCAAUGAUAGCUUUUCUGUAAUUGAUGUGCAUAUGACAAAAUGACUAAUUAAAGGCUCUCUUACAUAUCGUUGCUGUCAGGCGAAAAACUUGUAUGUCCAAAACUGUUGCUUUUCAGGAAAUGAAAAAAAAAAAAAAAAAAUGCUAAUUUGAAGACAUUUUAUUGAGCUAUUUAGCUUUGAAAAGUCAGAUGAAACUGCCUCGUCACUGUUUAAAUAUUUAGAAAAAAAACCACAGACAGACAGACAGACAGACAGACAGACAGACGUAAAGGGGGACAGAUCGCUUUAUAAAAAUAUAAGAUACAAGGUUUCUGCCCGGCAGCGACGAUAUACGGAAUACCAAAUGCAUGAUAUUAAUAAUAUUUUAUUACUAGUGAGUAGUUGAACAGAAGAAUAUAUAAACACAAUUAUUCUCACUUUUUUGUUUGGUUUUACCACUGAUGCUGUUUUUUAGUUUAAUAAACUUUAAUACAAAAGUCA
Sander lucioperca (pikeperch) is the source of this 614-nucleotide long non-coding RNA. RefSeq lists it as uncharacterized. The record is from RefSeq and is a predicted model, not a curated record. The transcript is spliced from 2 exons. NCBI's taxonomy places the organism in Eukaryota, Metazoa, Chordata, Actinopteri, Perciformes, Percidae.